UUAGAGUAAUAAAAUCUUUAGUAAGAAACUAAAAAUAACAAGGUACUACUGGCAUUAGCAAAUUGAUGUCAAUUGACUAUGUUCAAACUUGUUCAAUCUCAAAAGUAAGUUGUAGCCAUACUUUAAUACAACAUACACAUAACCAUCAUGAAUAAAAAGCUUAAUAAAACUACAGUAUAUGGUAAGCAAGAUUUAGUGUAACUGAUGUACACCAACUUGCUCUCUAUAAGAAGAACAAAUACCUUGUAACAUAUAAUCUCCCGUCAGUUCCUAUAUAUACAUCAUGAAAGUCCUGACUUUUUCAUUGCGAUAAGCUUGAAUCUGAACAUGAACAAUGAAGAAGAGUAUUAGCAAUAGGGCAGAGAGCUUCGGUUAGUUGAAAAUGGAAUAUAAAGGUGGUUAAAUGUAGUGUUAACAAUUUGUAAGGCUAAUCAAAAGAAAAUCAUUGAUUCACUUGUUUAAUGAAAUCAACAUUACCUAAGGCGAAGGAAAACUAGCUCGUAAGUAUUUUUUGUAUCCAUUAUUUUCUCUUGAUAAACUACCUAUAACCCUUUUAUAAGCUCCUAAAAUUGUGACAACUGCUGUCAGAUAAUUCCAAUUAUAUGUUAAACACUAGUUACUAAUACUCAUAAUAAUACGUAAUAAAGUUGUG
RNAcentral lists this long non-coding RNA (652 nucleotides) under Trifolium pratense (red clover). RNAcentral's name for it is "long non-coding RNA (TPRA_LNC007498)". The record is from RNAcentral. Lineage: Eukaryota; Viridiplantae; Streptophyta; Magnoliopsida; Fabales; Fabaceae.